GGCUUUAUGAUGCUUAUGAACUGAAACAUGCCUUGAAGGGAGCUGGAACAAAUGAAAAAGUACUGACAGAAAUUAUUGCUUCAAGGACACCUGAAGAACUGAGAGCCAUCAAACAAGUUUAUGAAGAAGAAUAUGGCUCAAGCCUGGAAGAUGACGUGGUGGGGGACACUUCAGGGUACUACCAGCGGAUGUUGGUGGUUCUCCUUCAGGCUAACAGAGACCCUGAUGCUGGAAUUGAUGAAGCUCAAGUUGAACAAGAUGCUCAGGCUUUAUUUCAGGCUGGAGAACUUAAAUGGGGGACAGAUGAAGAAAAGUUUAUCACCAUCUUUGGAACACGAAGUGUGUCUCAUUUGAGAAAGGUGUUUGACA
Molecule: unclassified non-coding RNA, 369 nt
Filed under: Hevea brasiliensis (rubber tree)
Lineage: Eukaryota; Viridiplantae; Streptophyta; Magnoliopsida; Malpighiales; Euphorbiaceae
Source: RNAcentral